RNAcentral lists this ribosomal RNA (255 nucleotides) under uncultured bacterium. Its description in RNAcentral is "partial 16S ribosomal RNA". It matches the Rfam family "Bacterial small subunit ribosomal RNA", at positions 524 to 776 of the family's 1533-position model. The record is from RNAcentral.
GACAGAGGGUGCAAACGUUGCUCGGAAUUACUGGGCGUAAAGCGCGUGUAGGCGGACCACCAAGUCGGACGCUGAAAGCCCUGAGCUCAACUACAGGAACUGCAUCCGAAACUGGCGGUCUGGAGUAGUGGAGAGGAAAGCAGAAUUCCUGGUGUAGAGGUGAAAUUCGUAGAUAUCAGGAGGAACACCGGUGGCGAAGGCGGCUUUCUGGACACUUACUGACGCUGAGACGCGAAAGCGUGGGGAGCAAACAGG